GAUGAAGAACGUAGCGAAAUGCGAUAAGUAAUGCGAAUUGCAGAAUUUCCGUGAGUCAUCGAAUCUUUGAACGCACAUUGCGCCCACUGGUACUCCGGUGGGCAUGCCUGUUCGAGCGUCAUUAUCCUCCCUCAAACCCCGGGUUUGGUGUUGGACCCAAGUUGUGUGAACAACUGGUCUCAAAGACAAUGACGGCGUCCGUGGGACCCUCGGUGCAACGAGCUUUUAGGAGCACGCAUCGAGUUGCAAGGACCUUCCGGGCCGGUCUCCUUUACCAUUUUACAAGGUUGACCUCGGAUCAGGUAGGAAUACCCGCUGAACUUAAGCAUAUCAAUAAGCGGAGGA
RNAcentral lists this unclassified non-coding RNA (345 nucleotides) under soil metagenome. RNAcentral describes it as "partial contains 5.8S ribosomal RNA, internal transcribed spacer 2, and large subunit ribosomal RNA". The stretch from base 1 to 121 matches the Rfam family "5.8S ribosomal RNA", at positions 35 to 154 of the family's 154-position model. The record is from RNAcentral.